Pelobates cultripes (western spadefoot toad) is the source of this 211-nucleotide non-coding RNA. The record is from the annotation of a GenBank genome assembly. Lineage: Eukaryota; Metazoa; Chordata; Amphibia; Anura; Pelobatidae.
GAAUGAGAAGAGCGAAGUGGAGCGGUAACCGUUACAUAACGAGCUAGCGCCUUCGCCACACAGAGUUUAGGCGAAUCCCGGAAGUAAGGGUACGACACAGCUGUCGAUUCCGACUUGGUACGUCUAACCACCUUGAAGGUGACCCCCUCUGGAGAGGACGUGAAAGCAUCGACAUCAAAGGCCCAGACAUCAGAAACACGUCUGAACGAGA